GAUUCCCUUAGUAAUGGCGAAUGAAACGGGAAAAGCCCAUCGCAGAACUGCUGGCCAUCCAGGUCACGCGGAAUGUUGCGUUUGGAAGGGUCUCUUCCAAGGCUCAGACGCCUGUCAAAGUCCAACUUGACAGUGGCCACAGCCCAUAGAGGGUGCUAGGCCCGUAAGGUGGGCGUCUGACUUUGCUGACCUCUUCCCCGAGUCGGAUAGCUUGAGAGUGCUGUCCAAAGUGCCAGGUAAACUCCUGGUAAGGCUAAAUAUGACCCCAAGACCGAUAGCAAACAAGUACAGUGAUGGAAAUUUGAAAAGAACUUUGAAGNNANAGUUC
RNAcentral lists this ribosomal RNA (328 nucleotides) under Steginoporella magnifica. RNAcentral's name for it is "eukaryotic LSU rRNA". It matches the Rfam family "Eukaryotic large subunit ribosomal RNA", at positions 73 to 390 of the family's 3401-position model. The record is from RNAcentral. Lineage: Eukaryota; Metazoa; Bryozoa; Gymnolaemata; Cheilostomatida; Steginoporellidae.